UCGAUAUUGUUUCUUACAAAAUACUUCAUCAACGUUUGGUCAACCUUCUAUCUAUACCAAGCUGACUUUAAUCUGGACAUGGUUGCAUCAUUUGCAUGUUAUUUCUAUUUCUUUAACUAUUAAAAGAGUGAAUUUCGUGAAUUUAAUUUUAACAAAUGUGAUAAUGUUUAAUCUCCACAUGGUUCUUAUAGAAAUUCUAAGUCUCAUUCUGUUUUUGCUUCCGUUGAUAGCCUAUGUCUUAAACCAUAGUAAGUUGAAGGUUUGAACCUAAUUACUUGAAGAGAUUUUAUUCCAAUUCUUUAUUUCGGAAUAAUUUCAUCAAUUUAUUAAUUCAGUUAUGCCUAGCUAUAUAUACGUCUUCAAUUAUAAGAGUAUCUGUUGGUACUAUAAUUAUUAGUUAAUUACUAAAAGAAGCUAUGUCUAUGUGCCUGCCGUUGGAUGGAACACACAACAUAGUUUAUAAGCAAAUUAUCGAGUCAAAUGAUAGAUCACAUAGUCAAAUUGAUAAAAGAUUUGGGAGGAUAUGAUACGUACGAGAAACAAUUUGUUUUUAUUUAUAUAUGUGUUUGCGCA
RNAcentral lists this long non-coding RNA (573 nucleotides) under Fragaria vesca (wild strawberry). RNAcentral's name for it is "long non-coding RNA (FVES_LNC001721)". Lineage: Eukaryota; Viridiplantae; Streptophyta; Magnoliopsida; Rosales; Rosaceae. The record is from RNAcentral.